This 442-nucleotide ribosomal RNA is filed under the name uncultured bacterium. Its description in RNAcentral is "partial 16S ribosomal RNA". It matches the Rfam family "Bacterial small subunit ribosomal RNA", at positions 338 to 795 of the family's 1533-position model. The record is from RNAcentral.
CCUACGGGUGGCUGCAGUGGGGAAUAUUGGGCAAUGGGCGCAAGCCUGACCCAGCAACGCCGCGUGAAGGAAGAAGGCUUUCGGGUUGUAAACUUCUUUUGUCAGGGAAGAGUAGAAGACGGUACCUGACGAAUAAGCCACGGCUAACUACGUGCCAGCAGCCGCGGUAAUACGUAGGUGGCAAGCGUUGUCCGGAUUUACUGGGUGGAAAGGGCGUGUAGCCGGGUUGACAAGUCAGAUGUGAAAUCCUACGGCUUAACCGGAGAACUGCAUUUGAAACUGUUGAUCUUGAGUACUGGAGAGACAGAUGGAAUUCCUAGUGUAGCGGUGAAAUGCGUAGAUAUUAGGAGGAACACCAGUGGCGAAGGCGGUCUGCUGGACAGCAACUGACGGUGAGGCGCGAAAGCGUGGGGAGCAAACAGGAUUAGAUACCCCAGUAGUC